Molecule: long non-coding RNA, 728 nt
Filed under: Homo sapiens (human)
Lineage: Eukaryota; Metazoa; Chordata; Mammalia; Primates; Hominidae
Description: HSALNT0016734
Source: RNAcentral
GCUUUGGCUCGCGCACAGUGCGCGCACCCACUGGCCUGCGCCCACUGUCUGGCACUCCCUAGUGAGAUGAUCCCGGUACCUCAGAUGGAAAUGCAGAAAUCACCCGUCUUCUGCGUCGCUCACGCUGGGAGCUGUAGACCGGAGCUGUUCCUAUUCGGCCAUCUUGGCUCCUCCCGAUUUUUUAAGCAGAAUUUUUCUUUUCUUAUUGUUGAGUUUUAAGUAUUCUUUGUAUAUUUUGGAGAACAGUCUUUUAACAGAUUUCUUUGUAGUCAAUUAGGACUGCCCAUUAAAGUGGCAGAAUAAGCACAGUGCCUGCUGCUAUGAUGUGAUGGGCCGUGGGAAACACUUUUCGCCUAAAAUCACCUCCUGCAAUGGCCUACUUAAGGCAUUUGAUUCACCUAUGUUAACAAGGGGCUUGUACGUCUCUAUCUUUUGCCAUGGGACAAAGUGCCUUCCUGGAGAAGUUGUUUUUCUCCUAUUGACACCAGGAUUGGCCUAAGGACUUGUGUUGGUCAAGGAAAUGUGAGUUUUAAAGUCAUUAGAAAGUUCUAGCUUAUCUUCUUGCCCUUUCCCUUGGCCUUGAGUUUGGAGAGGCUCCUCUCUAGAUACUGGAAUAAACAAGACACAUGGAAGAGGAACAAAGCUGCCACCAAAAUGUAACCUGCAUUAGAAACAGGCCUUUGUUGUUGAAACUCACUGAAAUUUGAGAAUUGUUUGUUCCUGCAUUU